AACGAACGCUGGCGGAAUGCUUUACACAUGCAAGUCGAGCGGCAGCGCGGGGGCAACCCUGGCGGCGAGCGGCGAACGGGUGAGUAACAUAUCGGAACGUACCCAGUCGUGGGGGAUAACUAUCCGAAAGGAUAGCUAAUACCGCAUACGUCCUGAGGGAGAAAGCGGGGGAUCGCAAGACCUCGCGCGAUUGGAGCGGCCGAUAUCGGAUUAGCUAGUUGGUGGGGUAAAGGCUCACCAAGGCGACGAUCCGUAGCGGGUCUGAGAGGACGACCCGCCACACUGGAACUGAGACACGGUCCAGACUCCUACGGGAGGCAGCAGUGGGGAAUUUUGGACAAUGGGCGAAAGCCUGAUCCAGCCAUUCCGCGUGAGUGAAGAAGGCC
This 386-nucleotide ribosomal RNA is filed under the name uncultured bacterium. RNAcentral describes it as "bacterial SSU rRNA". It matches the Rfam family "Bacterial small subunit ribosomal RNA", at positions 29 to 416 of the family's 1533-position model. The record is from RNAcentral.